RNAcentral lists this ribosomal RNA (431 nucleotides) under uncultured bacterium. Its description in RNAcentral is "partial 16S ribosomal RNA". It matches the Rfam family "Bacterial small subunit ribosomal RNA", at positions 338 to 795 of the family's 1533-position model. The record is from RNAcentral.
CCUACGGGGGGCAGCAAUUAGGAAUCUUGCGCAAUGGGGGAAACCCUGACGCAGCGACGCCGCGUGAAGGAUGAAGGCCUUCGGGUUGUAAACUUCUUUUAUCGAGGAGACGGUACUCGAUGAAUAAGCCACGGCUAACUCCGUGCCAGCAGCCGCGGUAAUACGGAGGUGGCGAGCGUUGUCCGAAUUUACUGGGCGUAAAGCGCGCGUAGGCGGGUUGUUAAGUCCGCUGUGAAAGCCCGGAGCUCAACUCCGGAGGGUCGGUGGAUACUGGCAAUCUUGAAGGUGCUAGGGGGAAGUGGAAUUACCGGUGUAGCGGUGAAAUGCGUAGAUAUCGGUAGGAACACCAGUGGCGAAGGCGGCUUCCUGGGCCUCUUGACGCUGAGGCGCGAAAGCUGGGGGAGCGAACGGGAUUAGAUACCCUUGUAGUC